Molecule: ribosomal RNA, 251 nt
Filed under: uncultured bacterium
Lineage: Bacteria
Description: partial 16S ribosomal RNA
Rfam family: Bacterial small subunit ribosomal RNA
Source: RNAcentral
CGUAGGGUGCAAGCGUUGUCCGGAAUCAUUGGGCGUAAAGCGCGCGUAGGUGGCUUCGUAAGUCCGUUGUGAAAGUCAAAGGCUCAACCUUUGAAUGCCGAUGGAUACUGCGAAGCUAGAGUACGGAAGAGGCGAGUGGAAUUCCUGGUGUAGCGGUGGAAUGCGCAGAUAUCAGGAGGAACACCAAUAGCGAAGGCAGCUCGCUGGGACGUUACUGACACUAAGGCGCGAAAGCGUGGGGAGCGAACAGG